CUUCUCUUCCACCAGCCACCUAUUUUUUUUCCCACACACCUUCUUCCUCCCUGCUUCACGGCAGCAAGCAUGGACGUGGCUCUCUCCCCACGGCCGGACCUCUGCUCCUCUUCCUGGCGAGCAGCAGCCCCUUCCUCCCUCGCUCGGCCGUCCUCCUCCUUCUCUCCGGCCAACAGCAGCCAGCGGCUCCCAUCUCCCAGCAACCUCCAUGGCCGCGGGCGCCCCUGCUCCAACCAUGGCGCCCAGAUUUUUCUAGCUCUCUCCCAUGGCGUCCUCCCCUUCUCCCCCUCGGCUCCAGCUUCCUCGACGCCCCCUGCUCCUUGUCCCUCGCGCAACAGCAGCCAGCGCCCCCUUUUCCUCCUCCCUAGUUCCCACGGCUGCCAGCAGGUACACCUCCCAUGGCGCUGGCCACUCUCCCAUGGCCGAGCCCCUGCGACCUCCAUGGACGCCCCCUCUUUUCUUCUUCGCGCAUCAGCAGGGAGCCCCUGCUCGGGCAGCAGCCAUGGCGCCAUGAUUUUCUGCGCAGCGAUGCCGGUCCAAAAACAGCAGCCCCGGACCCCCUCCGCAUCACGUGCUCGCUCGAUCUGCGCAGUCCCGACCCGCACCGUCGCGAUGGUGUUUGAGACAGCCACAUGCCGCGUCGUCGAUCUGCGCCGUGCUUGUGAGUCGGCUAAAAAAAUCCUUGCUGGAUGUUGCCGCGGCGUCUCGCGUGAUGCAUGAUUCGGUGAAGCACCUAAACCAUGGACGCAUGCGCGACUCGAAUCCGAGAUGACAGGACCGAGAGAUGAUGAUCGUGCAAGUGAUGUGGUGCCAACCACAAGGUGCAGUCGGUGGACGACCCAAGGAAGGAUGAACUUAACCAGUGGAUGCUCGCCGAGCGAGUACCUCCCCCAGCAAACACUGUCUAAGUGUUAAAUUAAAGAUAUGACUCGGCAGAUUUCCACUUUUGAAGAAAAACAUUCUCGAGAUCAGGCUGAACUGGUCCAGCGGUGCUCUGAUUUUGAAGAAAAGUAUUCUCAAAGCCAGACUGAACUAGCUUAGGUCUCCGCUGCCUUAGAUGACGCCAAUGCACUGAGCUCUUCCCUUCGCACUAAGCUUGAUUCUGAAAAGGAAGAAAAAUGUGUCCUUGUUGCUUCCCGCGACAAUCUUGACAGACUGUAUCGUGAUUCCAGCAACUCAUUGACCAUAUUGGAGAGGAGUCAUCGCUUCACCAUGGAGGAGUUAGACAACCAUCGCUGUAAGCUGCAGGAAUCCGCGGAUGAGGUGAUCCGGCUCAAGCAAUUGAUAUCGGCGAAGGAUGCUACUAUCAAAGAACUCCGUGCUUCCAAGAAAUCCAUCGCCCAGGAGCUAGAAGCCGCUCGGUUGGCUGCCAAGGUUGCUGAAGAAACUUCCAUUACUCUGAGAGCCCAGCGCGACAGAGCCAUGGAUAAGGCCAUUCGGGCAGGGCAAAUCUUGAUGAGGAGACCCGGCGUGGUUGUUCCCGAAGAUAUAAAGGCUGACGUGAAUGCUGCUCCUGAUUCCUUGAGUCGCCCUUCCUCGUCGAUUGCUCCUGAGAAAGAUAUCACGAAAUAGAGAAAUAUUUUGCGUGCUUUGAGCGUGCGGUUAGCAUGGUCGGACAUUUGUUAGAGGACACCGGUUUAGCACUUGAAUGAUAUUGUUGUUCUCUUAUUGUUUCAGAAUUCAACAGUACGUAAAUUUGAAGUAGUAAAAUGAUGUGUGAUGGUUUUG
RNA transcript from Zea mays, 1728 nucleotides. RefSeq lists it as uncharacterized. The transcript is spliced from 5 exons. The record is from RefSeq and is marked validated. Lineage: Eukaryota; Viridiplantae; Streptophyta; Magnoliopsida; Poales; Poaceae.